CAGUAGCCGCGGGAAUACAGAGGGUGCAAGCGUUAAUCGGAAUUACUGGGCGUAAAGCGCGCGUAGGUGGUUUGUUAAGUUGGAUGUGAAAGCCCCGGGCUCAACCUGGGAACUGCAUCCAAAACUGGCAAGCUAGAGUACGGUAGAGGGUGGUGGAAUUUCCUGUGUAGCGGUGAAAUGCGUAGAUAUAGGAAGGAACACCAGUGGCGAAGGCGACCACCUGGACUGAUACUGACACUGAGGUGCGAAAGCGUGGGGAGCAAACAGGAUUAGAUACCCCUGUAGUCCCUGUCUCUUAUAC
RNAcentral lists this ribosomal RNA (301 nucleotides) under uncultured bacterium. Its description in RNAcentral is "partial 16S ribosomal RNA". It matches the Rfam family "Bacterial small subunit ribosomal RNA", at positions 509 to 807 of the family's 1533-position model. The record is from RNAcentral.